AUACGGAGGGGGCUAGCGUUGUUCGGAAUUACUGGGCGUAAAGCGCGUGUAGGCGGAUCGUUAAGUCAGGGGUGAAAGCCCGGGGCUCAACCCCGGAACUGCCCUUGAUACUGGCGAUCUAGAGUCCGGAAGAGGUGGGCGGAAUUCCCGGUGUAGAGGUGAAAUUCGUAGAUAUCGGGAGGAACACCAGUGGCGAAGGCGGCUCACUGGUCCGGCACUGACGCCGAGACGCGAAAGCGUGGGGAGCAAACAGGAUUAGAUACCCUAGUAGUCC
Molecule: ribosomal RNA, 274 nt
Filed under: uncultured bacterium
Lineage: Bacteria
Description: partial 16S ribosomal RNA
Rfam family: Bacterial small subunit ribosomal RNA
Source: RNAcentral